CUCCCCUGGGGGUCAGCUUGGCCCAAAGUUCUGACUUUCUAAUCCUGUGUUUGGUCUUUCCGAUGACCAACCUUCAUCUUGAAGCUAUCUCAGGGCCACCAGGAAUCACCUCAUUAGCAUAACAAAAACACCAUCAUGACUCAGGAAAUGCCAAGGGUUUUUAAGACUCUGCCAAGAACUAGGGACAAAGAUAUAUUCUUUAGUAUACAAGAGAACUUUUACAAUUUACUGUCUCCCUCUAUGGAUCCCAAGCAACAGCUUAAUUCUCUUCCAUCUUUAGCUUUAUGAAAUAUCAGGGUGAUACUGGGAUCUUCAACGAUGUCACAGGACCCUUGCAUUUAUAGAAGUGCUGACCAAGAAGAAAAAGCA
This is a long non-coding RNA of Rhinopithecus bieti (black snub-nosed monkey), 369 nucleotides long. The record is from Ensembl. Lineage: Eukaryota; Metazoa; Chordata; Mammalia; Primates; Cercopithecidae.